CGCAGCACCAUAUCCACCAACACCUUUCUCCUCCCCACCCUCAUUUCCUUGUGUACUUCUUGUGCUCUCUGUGGGACUGAAACUACAGCUGAUAACCUUCAGUGCUCUCUUCUAGGAUGGUCCCACCUAAUACCAAGCCAUAUCCACACUUAGUUCUUUGCCAGACUUGUUCUGUGUUUCCAGUAGCUAGAGGGUGAAAAACCUGUAUCCGAAAGUGAAUGCAAAGUGGCUCCUGUAGCUUUAGGGCAGCUACUGUGAGGUAAGGGUGUGUGUGAUGUGUAUGUGUUGAGAGAGAAUAUGGUAGGAGAAAGGGAGAAGGCACGACAGAGCUAGAGAAGGAAAAAUAAAGUAUACCUAGAACACAACAUCAACCAGUUAGUAGUAACACAUAGUUAUAAUCAGCUAU
This 406-nucleotide long non-coding RNA is filed under the name Homo sapiens (human). RNAcentral's name for it is "HSALNT0059374". Lineage: Eukaryota; Metazoa; Chordata; Mammalia; Primates; Hominidae. The record is from RNAcentral.